RNAcentral lists this ribosomal RNA (1412 nucleotides) under marine metagenome. RNAcentral describes it as "SSU rRNA". It matches the Rfam family "Eukaryotic small subunit ribosomal RNA", at positions 3 to 1434 of the family's 1831-position model. The record is from RNAcentral.
CCUGGUUGAUCCUGCCAGUAGUCAUAUGCUUGUCUCAAAGAUUAAGCCAUGCAUGUCUAAGUACAAGCCUCACUAAGGUGAAACCGCGAAUGGCUCAUUAAAUCACACCUAAUGUACUGGACAGUCUCAGUUACUUGGAUAACUGCGGUAAUUCUGGAGCUAAUACAUGCGUACUAGCCGCGACUCACGGAGCGGUGCUUUUAUUAGAUCAAAACCAAACGGCCUCGAGCCGUCCCCCUGGUGAUUCUGAAUAACUUUGGGCUGAUCGCACGGACUCGUUCCGGCGACGUGUCCUUCCAAGGUGUGCCCUAUCAACUGUCGACUGUGGCAUAGACGCCCACAGUGGUUUUGACGGGUAACGGGGAAUUAGGGUUCGAUUCCGGAGAGGGAGCCUGAGAAACGGCUACCACUUCUACGGAAGGCAGCAGGCACGCAAAUUACCCACUGGCCGAAGGCCGAGGUAGUGACGAAAAAUAACGAUACCGGACUCAUCCGAGGCCCGGUAAUCGGAAUGAGUACACUUUAAAUCCUUUAACGAGGAACAAUUGGAGGGCAAGUCUGGUGCCAGCAGCCGCGGUAAUUCCAGCUCCAAUAGCGUAUAUUAAAGUUGUUGCGGUUAAAAAGCUCGUAGUUGGAUCUCGGCGGGCAGGGGGUGGUUCGCUCUUCAGCGCUACUGCCCCGCUUUGCCCGUGUGAUUGGCGGAGGUUUCGGGGUGCUCUUCGUUGAGUGACUCGGAGCGCCGUCAGGUUUACUUUGAAAAAAUUAGAGUGCUCAAAGCAGGCUUUUCACGCUUGAAUAUUCGUGCAUGGAAUAAUGGAAUAGGAACUCGUUUCUAUUUUGUUGGUUUUCGGAAAUCGAGUUAAUGAUUAACAGGGACAAUUGGGGGCAUUAGUAUUCAGACGACAGAGGUGAAAUUCUUGGACCGUCUGAAGACUGACUACUGCGAAAGCAUUUGCCAAGAGUGUUUUCAUUAAUCAAGAACGAAAGUUAGAGGUUCGAAGGCGAUCAGAUACCGCCCUAGUUCUAACCAUAAACGAUGCCAGCUAGCGAUCUGCCGAGUUUUUUUUGUAGGCUCCGCAGGAAGCUUUCGGGAAACCAAAGCUUUUGGGUUCCGGGGGAAGUAUGGUUGCAAAGCUGAAACUUAAAGGAAUUGACGGAAGGGCACCACCAGGAGUGGAGCCUGCGGCUUAAUUUGACUCAACACGGGAAAUCUCACCAGGCCCGGACACUGGAAGGAUUGACAGAUUGAGAGCUCUUUCUCGAUUCGGUGGGUGGUGGUGCAUGGCCGUUCUUAGUUGGUGGAGUGAUUUGUCUGGUUAAUUCCGAUAACGAACGAGACUCUGUCCUGCUAAAUAGUUGGGUCGUCCUUCGUGCGAUCCAAGUUCUUCUUAGAGGGACUGGCUGCGUCUAGC